CUUGUGUCCUCCCUUUGGGUGAGGUUGAUUUUCCCUAUAAUGAGGUUUCUGGUUAAUGCUGUAGCAUAGUCUUUUAUGCCUGGUUAUUUUAUAAUGCUUUGGCUUAAGAAUUGGAUCUGUUUCAGGAAUUAUUGCAGAUAAAUCUUAGAUUAAUUGUUGUCAGUGUUUCACACUAUAUUUACAUAUAUAUUGUACAUACAUUGUAUGUGUAUGUUAUACACACACAUAUAUAUAUGUAUAUAUUAUAUAUAGUAUAACCUCUUUGUUUUUUUAUAUAUCUCUUUAAAAUUGAAGCCCAGAUAUUUCCGAAAGUGCACUUUGUAGUACAUGGGAGUUGUGGGCUGAUAAACGAUUUAUUCUGCCUUACAGAUUUAUCAGUCCUGGCUGGACAAAUCUACCCCCUACACAGCUGUCCGGUGGGUCGUGACACUGGGCCUGAGUUUUGUCUACAUGAUUAGAGUUUACCUGUUACAAGGUUGGUACAUUGUGACCUACGCCUUGGGAAUUUACCACCUAAACCUUUUCAUAGCGUUCCUUUCUCCCAAAGUGGACCCUUCCUUGAUGGAAGACUCAGAUGAUGGCCCUUCAUUACCAACCAAACAAAAUGAGGAGUUUCGCCCCUUCAUUCGAAGGCUUCCAGAAUUCAAAUUUUGGUGAGUUAAUUUUUUUCUGUUGAACAAUAAGAUAUUUAAAUCCAUAAAUGUCUUACUUUUGCAAACGUAAUUGCCCACAUGUGGGGAAUGUGGUGCCAUUUUGGUUCACAUGCACUAGGUAAUGGUCAUGUAAUAGUCAGAUCAAGUGUUUGGCACGAUCACCACAGGCACUGACCGCUUCAAGUUUGAACACCAGACGUCCUACUUAAGGUAUUUUGAAGGAAGUGCAGCAUUAUUGCCCACUGCUCUUCUUCUUGUCUACACAGCGGAAAUCCUUUCUCCUGAGCAGUCCUGCUGUUAUGUCUUUAAGGUUUUUGUGGAAGAUGAAGAUCAGUUUUUGUCUUAGUUACUGGUUUCUUAACAAAAUGAGGAUUUUGUUGUGCUUUGUUUGCAUGUGGUGUGCAUUAAUCUAAAAGGUCACAGGGCUUUCCA
Molecule: long non-coding RNA, 1085 nt
Filed under: Rattus norvegicus (Norway rat)
Lineage: Eukaryota; Metazoa; Chordata; Mammalia; Rodentia; Muridae
Description: long non-coding RNA NONRATT023934
Source: RNAcentral